This 778-nucleotide ribosomal RNA is filed under the name uncultured Neocallimastigales. Its description in RNAcentral is "partial large subunit ribosomal RNA". It matches the Rfam family "Eukaryotic large subunit ribosomal RNA", at positions 18 to 634 of the family's 3401-position model. The record is from RNAcentral. Lineage: Eukaryota; Fungi; Neocallimastigomycota; Neocallimastigomycetes; Neocallimastigales.
UUCAGACGAUGCGUCAUGCAUAUCAAUAAGCGGAGGAAAAGAAACUAACAAGGAUUCCCUUAGUAACGGCGAGUGAAGCGGGAAGAGCUCAAAUUUGAAAUCUUCAAGGUUUUACCUUGACGAAUUGUAGUUUAAAGAAGUGUUUUCUGCUGAAGUUUUGGUAAAAGUUCUUUGGAAUAGGACAUCAUAGAGGGUGAGAAUCCCGUAUUUGACCAUUAUUUUCAGCUGUGUGAUACACUUUCAAAGAGUCGGAUUGUUUGGGAAUGCAGUCCAAAAUGGGUGGUAAAUUUCAUCUAAAGCUAAAUAUUGGCGAGAGACCGAUAGCGAACAAGUACCGUGAGGGAAAGAUGAAAAGAACUUUGAAAAGAGAGUUAAACAGUACGUGAAAUUGUCAAAAGGGAAGCGUUUGACACCAGUGUUGUUUUCCUCGAAAAUCAAUUAAAAAGAGUUAGAUUUUGUUGUGUAUUGACCUUAACAGCUUCACUGUACAUUUUUCGUUGUCUUUUUUAAUGCACUUUUCGUUUAACAAGUCAACAUCAGUUUCUUUUGUUGUAAAAAGGUCAUUGGAAGGUGGCUUUCUUUUCGGAGAAAGUGUUUAUAGCCUUUGACUCCUGCAAUCGGAGAGACUGAGGUCUGCAGCGUAGAUCCUUCGGGGUUAGAUACAUUUGUGCUAAGUUAUAGCUUUUUAUAGACAACUUGUUGACUAUGAUUAGUCUUGUAGCUUACUCGCUUAUGCUAUUUUACCUACGCUUAGGAUGUUGAGUCGUAGAGCACGCAG